This 549-nucleotide ribosomal RNA is filed under the name Triticum aestivum (bread wheat). Its description in RNAcentral is "partial small subunit ribosomal RNA". Lineage: Eukaryota; Viridiplantae; Streptophyta; Magnoliopsida; Poales; Poaceae. The record is from RNAcentral.
AUGCGGGCACUCACGGAGAAGAACAACAUGCUGUCUCGUGAGCUGGAAGGGUGUCGGGCCCAGCUAGCUGUUGUUACCGCCGAACUAGAGAAAUCCAAGGAGGCGCCGCCUGGAUCGUUAGAUCAACUAAAAGAGGAACUGAAGGUCGCGCAGGCAGGUAAACAUCAGGCCGAAAAGCAACUGGCCGCUGGCGAACGUGUGUUGACACGGACCAGGGAUGAUAAGAACAAGCUGCAGGAUUCCAACACCCUACUAGGCGAAGAGCUAAAAGACGUGCGAGCCCAGCUAGCGGAUGCCGUAAAAGAGAACAGGAGGCUACGGGGCGGCAUAUUCAGUAUGCUGACUGGCCGGCCCGAAGAGAAAAUGUCCAGAGCUCAAGGCGAUCUGCUGCAAGAGCUGUCGCAAGUGUACGAGCGAGCUCGGAAAGCGAUGCGGAGUGUCGCCAAGGCUUUAUGGCCAUCCGAAUCCCCUCCAGGAAGUAUGGAGGAGCUUGUGAAGCUAUUCAAGGGAGCUCGGCGCCGCUUUAGAUUAUGGAAGAUAUCGGCUUGA